AUUGAACGCUGGCGGCAGGCUUAACACAUGCAAGUCGAGCGAGUGGCGGACGGGUGAGUAACGUCUGGGAAACUGCCUGAUGGAGGGGGAUAACUACUGGAAACGAUAGCUAAUACCGCAUACCAUCAGAUGUGCCCAGAUGGGAUUAGCUAGUAGGGGGGGUAACGGCUCACCAAGGCGACGAUCCGUAGCUGGUCUGAGAGGAUGACCGGCCACACUGGAACUGAGACACGGUCCAGACUCCUACGGUAGGCAGCAUUGGGGAAUAUUGGACAAUGGGCGCAAGCCUGAUGCAGCCAUGCCGCGUGUGUGAAGAAGGCCUUCGGGUUGUAAAGCACUUUCAGCGGGGAGGCGUUACCCGCAGAAGAAGCACCGGCUAACUCCGUGCCAGCAGCCGCGGUAAUUC
RNAcentral lists this ribosomal RNA (406 nucleotides) under uncultured bacterium. RNAcentral's name for it is "partial 16S ribosomal RNA". It matches the Rfam family "Bacterial small subunit ribosomal RNA", at positions 30 to 526 of the family's 1533-position model. The record is from RNAcentral.